AGAGUUUGAUCCUGGCUCAGGAUUAACGCUGGCGGCGUGCCUAACACAUGCAAGUCGAACGAGGUAGCAAUACCUAGUGGCAGACGGGUGAGUAACACGUGACCAACCUACCCCGUAGUGGGGGAUAACUAGCCGAAAGGUUAGCUAAUACCGCAUGAAACGCGCCCUGGCAUCAGGGUACGUUGAAAGGAGCAAUCCGC
RNAcentral lists this ribosomal RNA (200 nucleotides) under uncultured bacterium. RNAcentral describes it as "partial 16S ribosomal RNA". It matches the Rfam family "Bacterial small subunit ribosomal RNA", at positions 8 to 218 of the family's 1533-position model. The record is from RNAcentral.